UUAGCAAUUUUCUUUGGUUUUGCAUCAUAAAUAUCUUCACACAGGUAAGGCAAUAGUUUGUACUCUUGUUUAAGAAAACAAGCUCAGCAAUGAUGUAUGAAGAAACUUUUCUUGCUUGUUUCCUUCUGACGUGUGUGCUUUUUCUUCUUUCCAGCAGCAAGAAGACUUCCUUGAGUGAUGGGUUCGUUCAGGACAUCUCGGAGGAAUGGUGCUUGUGGUGGAGCUCAUUGGAAUCUGGUGCUGCGUUUAGCUGUUAUUACUGACAUCAGCAGAAAAUCUCUGGUUGUCCUCCAAGCUGCAAGUCCACCAGGUAAGAGAGCACAAGCAAUGGUGAUGGGUUUUUGCAGCCUCUUGAGUCAGGAGAAGCCCGUUAGCAUUCAGAAAGCUGAACUUGGGAGGUACUGGCCCCAAGAGGUGACACAAGGAGGUGGUGCUAUGCUUGAGAUGCUUGUUGAGCAAUGAAUUUGAGUGACCCAGCUCUGUUCUUGGCUGCUGGGUUUGGUUUUUGGUGGUCAAAUAGCACUCAGAAGGGACUUGCCAAGACAGCGUGGGUUGUAAGAGCAGACUGGGAAAGAGAUUGAGAGGGAAGAAUUUCUAACAGGACAGCCUGGGAGUCCAGGGAAAACAGACUGAGGUGUAGGGAUGAGAAAUGGAUACAGGAGCAGUGGGAAUGGGCAGAAAUAGGGAAAACUGAGAAGUCCAAGUAGAGAAAAGUGCAUGCCUGUAUAAACUUGCAUAGAUGCAAGUGUGGAUAAACAGGGAAAUACAGGCAUUUGUGACCACCUCCAUAGCACAUUAUACCGUUGUUACAACCUUCAAAACCAUACUGCCUACCUCUCCUUAUUCUUCUGAAAAUUAUUGUUUCAUGACAAAGCUGCAGUCCUGCAAAAGCUCCUGAUAUAUGAUUCAUGUAAGUACAGGAUUCUGUGCUUUUUUUUUCCCUCACAGAUCUUCCUGGAGUACUCUGGGGAGAUCCAUUUAUCAGGUGCAAAGCAAAGUUUUGUUUUUUCCCUCUCCUCCUCGACAAAAAGCUAUCACAAGGUGCCAGUGUUCAGAGCAGCGCUACAGUCUGAACGUGCGCAGGACCCCAUUGUACUGCCAUAUUCCUGUCAGAUUUUCCCAGGAGUGACAAACUGCUGCCGCCUUCAUCUCCGCACGUGUGUAAUAUUAACAGCCUAUUUGUUGACCCUCACAGUUUCUUUACAAGUGUCUCGGUGGAAUUGAAGCAAUGCACACAUUUUUUCCGGGAGAAAUAAAAGAUGGGUGACUUAAUGGAGAAAUCCA
RNAcentral lists this long non-coding RNA (1284 nucleotides) under Calidris pygmaea (Spoon-billed sandpiper). RNAcentral describes it as "lncRNA (ENSCPGG00000004286.1)". Lineage: Eukaryota; Metazoa; Chordata; Aves; Charadriiformes; Scolopacidae. The record is from RNAcentral.